GGGCGCGUCGUAUAAUGGUAGUACUACGGUCUCCAAAACCGUAUGCGUAGGUUCGAUUCCUACCGCGCCUGCCA
RNAcentral lists this transfer RNA (74 nucleotides) under Candidatus Magasanikbacteria bacterium RIFCSPHIGHO2_02_FULL_48_18. RNAcentral's name for it is "tRNA-Trp". It matches the Rfam family "tRNA". From Rfam's summary of the family: Transfer RNA (tRNA) molecules are approximately 80 nucleotides in length. Their secondary structure includes four short double-helical elements and three loops (D, anti-codon, and T loops). The record is from RNAcentral. RNAcentral also lists the same sequence under 3 other names. Lineage: Bacteria; Candidatus Magasanikiibacteriota.